Molecule: unclassified non-coding RNA, 280 nt
Organism: Erinaceus europaeus (western European hedgehog)
Lineage: Eukaryota; Metazoa; Chordata; Mammalia; Eulipotyphla; Erinaceidae
Gene: 7SK
Rfam family: 7SK RNA
About the family: 7SK was discovered as an abundant small nuclear RNA in the mid-70s but a possible function has only recently been suggested. Two independent studies have found that 7SK RNA binds the CDK9/cyclin T complex (known as elongation factor P-TEFb).
Source: Ensembl
GGAUAUGAGGGUGAUCUGGCUAUAGCAUCUGUUACCUCAUUGAUAACCAGGGUUGAUUAAGGUGAUCUGGGUGGUUAGCAGGGUGCCCUCUUCCUCUCUCAUAGUUCCAUGUAUGUCUCUUCUGAAGCCCUGCACUCUGUUGCAGGACAACUUUCCCUGAAAAGAGAUGGAGCAGGGUAUAUGAAUAGCUGGGCUACCCUCCUAGAACCUCCAAAACAAGCUCUCAAAGCAGGGCAUUAUCCAAGUGAACUACUGUGCUGGUCCCAGAAUGUCUAUACUU